GUUGGCACUUUUAUGUUUUUCAAAUUGAUGAUAUCUCUCUCUCUCUCUCUCUCUCUCUCUCUCUCUCUCACUGGUUUUUAAGUUUUUUUUCCUCACUGCUUUGUUUUGUGAGAUUAGCCAAGGAACCAAAAAAUGUGAUCUUCAUACGACGCCGGUUAAGCUUUUUCUAUUUGCACUUUCACCCCCUUAUUAUGUACAAUUCCCAAUUUCAACCGUCACGUUUUUUUGUUGUUGUUGUUGUUGUUCAGUUACUCCCCUCGUUCAAUGUAAGAAGCAGCAAACGCAAAGUAAAAAAAGAAGAAGAAGAAGAAUCGGGUUAAGAGCGCAGCGGAGUGAGGGAGAGAGCGACUGACGAUUUCUUAAGGGUUUGGAAUCACAAAUUCCCGUACUGUCAAGGUGAAACUUGUUUUUCUGAAUCAAAGCUUUGGUCUUGGGACUUCUUUGUGUAAUUGGCCAUAUACGGACGACAGAUUUAGUCGGUUGACUGAUGAUUUGCUCAUCAGAAUCUUGUCCUUUGUCCUGAUCAAAGAAGCCGUGGCUACUCGCAUUUUGUCAAAACGAUGGCGUCCUCUUUGGACAUUGUUGUCAAGGCUGAAAUUUAAAGAUCAGUAUCCGGGCCCCGGAUUGUCAUCGGAUUUUGUCUUUGGGACUUUGCUGUCAAAUAAGUCACCAUGUCUAGAAAGUUUUCAUCUCAUCAGAUAUUAUUCUGCAUGGAGCCCUUUGCAGAUUGAAUUGUGGGUUAUUUUUGCAGUUGAUCGUUUUGUGCGUGAUCUACUUAUAUAUUUGAGCUCUGAUGCUAUAAGAUUACCGACUAAGUUGUUUAGAUGUGAAACACUCGAGACCUUGCAACUGAUAGGUGUGAUUUUAUUGGAAGUUCCUUCUCGGGUUUGUUUUCAAUCCCUUAAAAAAAGUUGUGCCUUAUCUUUGUCACGUACCCAGACGAGGAAUCUUUCGUCAGGCUUAUAUCUAGUUCCCCUGUUCUUGGAGAUUUGCUUCUGGAGAAUCCCGAUGGCGACAAUAUAUAGAGACUUUUACCAUUAAUGUGCCUUCCCUUCACCGUUUAACCAUUACUACAGGUGAGCAAUCUAAUAAGAAUUGGCGGUUUGUGAUACAUUGUCAUUCUUUGAAAGAUUUGGAUAUGAGAAAUGACUAUGGUGAAGUAAAUUUGAUUGGUGAUAUGCGCGAGCUUGUGAAGGCAAAUAUUUGGACUUGUGAUAGCAAUGUUUUCAAGUCUCUUACCUUUGCCAAAACACUUCGUCUGACCUUACAAGACUAUAAUAAGGCCCCGUAUCAUUUUGGUACCAUUUUCUCUCAGCUUGUGUCUUUGGAGUUCCGCGGACGAUGUUACAACUGGUGGAAUUUUCUUGUAAAUGUGCUGCAACAUUCCCCUAGACUACAGAUUCUCACGUUAGAAGGUUGUUAUAGUGAGAAAGUGUGGAGAUAUAGGGAAUUAUGGAGUCAGCCGAGUUGUGCUCCUGAAUGUUUGUAUCGUCUCAAAACCUUUAAGUGGAUAGAGUAUGAAGGAAGUCCAAUACAAAAAGAAGUGGCCAGUUAUAUUCUGAAUAACGCAAGGCGAUUAGUUACUGCAAUGCAACUGUCUCCGUUGUCCCAGAAAUGGUAAGCGAUCAGGCGUUUGAGGAAUUGGAAUUUGAAACCAGGGGUUCAAGUGUGAGCUUAAUUGAUGCGACCAUACAUGAGGAUGUACCAGACAUUGCAGAACAGAGAAGGGUGUCUACGAGAACCAGGGUGCCUAACCGGCGGCACACAACAUAACCAGGCACGGGAUCGGUUCGAUUGUUCCAUUUCUAUUUCUAGUUUUCUGAUUUCAUUGUUGUUAAUAAUGAGACUUAGUCGUCCCGUUGUUAAGGACACUAAGCCAUCACGUUCCUAUUUUCUUGUUGCAUUUCCCCACUUCCAUGUACUAGAGAUCGGAUGAUCUCGACUUGUAUUUUGCUUCUAUUUAAGAAAUGAAAAACCACAAAAAGAGGUAGUCUUAACUACCCAAAAAAUAUUGUUCUUGUUUGUUCUUGAAACAAAUUCUCUUGCUUUGAAGAGGGACCAACAUUAAUGUGUUCAA
Non-coding RNA from Camelina sativa (false flax), 2077 nucleotides. The record is from RefSeq and is a predicted model, not a curated record. Lineage: Eukaryota; Viridiplantae; Streptophyta; Magnoliopsida; Brassicales; Brassicaceae.